Molecule: ribosomal RNA, 2179 nt
Filed under: human gut metagenome
Description: bacterial LSU rRNA
Rfam family: Bacterial large subunit ribosomal RNA
Source: RNAcentral
GUACUUUUUGUAGAACGGACCGGCGAGUUACGUUAUGCAGCAAGGUUAAGAACUAAAGGUUCGGAGCCGAAGCGAAAGCGAGUCUGAACAGGGCGAUAGUUGCAUGACGUAGACCCGAAACCGGGUGACCUAUCCAUGAGCAGGUUGAAGUGGAGGUAAAGCUCCAUGGAGGACCGAACCAGACGUCUGUUGAAAAAGGCGGGGAUGACUUGUGGAUAGGGGAGAAAUUCCAAUCGAACCCGGAGAUAGCUGGUUCUCCUCGAAAUAGCUUUAGGGCUAGCCUCAUGGAUCAUUGAUGGGGGUAGAGCACUGAAUGUGCGCGGGGGCCACAAAGCCUACCAAACGCUAUCAAACUUCGAAUACCAUACAAUGCAGACCAUGGGAGUCAGUCCGCGAGAGAUAAGUUCCGCGGGCAAAAGGGGAACACCCCAGAUCAACCGCUAAGGUCCCCAAGUUCACGUUAAGUGGAGAAGGAUGUGGAAUUGCACAGACAACCAGGAUGUUGGCUCAGAAGCAGCCACACAUUUAAAGAGUGCGUAAUAGCUCACUGGUCGAGUGAUUGUGCGCCGAAGAUGUCCGGGGCUAAACGUGACACCGAAGCGAUGGGUGCAUCUGAAAGGAUGCGCGGUAGAGGAGCAAUGUGCAGAGGCAGAAGCCGUAUCGAGAGGCACGGUGGACACUGCACAAGAGAGAAUGCCGGUAUGAGUAGCGAGAGGCAUGCGAGAAACAUGCCCGUCGAAAGCCCAAGGUUUCCUGGGGAAGGUUCAUCCGCCCAGGGUAAGUCGGGGCCUAAGCCGAGGACGGAAGUCGUAGGCGAUGGACAGCAGGUGUAGAUUCCUGCACUACCGAUGGAAUGAAGCAGUGACACAGAAGGAUAACUCGAGCAGGGUGAUGGUCAACCCUGUGCAAGCAUCAAGGUUGGGUUGUAGUGAAGUACGCAAUCCUACAAGCUGAGGUGUGAUGCGGACCGAAAUUUUAGUAGGGAAGCGAGUGAGUUCACGCUGGCGAGAAAAGCUGCUAGUAUAUCCAAAGGUACCCGUACCGGAAACCGACGCAGGUGGGCGAGGAGAGAAUCCUGAGACGAACGGGAGAACCCUUGUUAAGGAACUCGGCAAAAUGACCCCGUAACUUCGGGAUAAGGGGUGCCUGCGAGAGCAGGCCGCAGAGAAUAGUCACAAGCGACUGUUUAGCAAAAACACAGGUAUCUGCGAAAGCGAGAGCUGACGUAUAGGUGCUGACACCUGCCCGGUGCUGGAAGGUUAAGGGAACAUGUUAGAGCAAUCGAAGCAUCGAACCGAAGCCCCAGUAAACGGCGGCCGUAACUAUAACGGUCCUAAGGUAGCGAAAUUCCUUGUCGGGUAAGUUCCGACCCGCACGAAUGGUGUAACGACUUGUGAGCUGUCUCAACAGGGGGCCCGGUGAAAUUGAAGUAUGGGUGAAGAUGCCCAUUACCCGCGACUGGACGGAGAGACCCCGUAGAGCUUUACUGCAGCCUGAUAUUGAGUUUCGGUAACUGAUGCACAGGAUAGGUGGGAGUCUGAGAGACAUGGGUUUCGGCUCGUGAGGAGACGCUGUUGGGAUACCACUCUUCGGUUACUGAAAUUCUAACAUAGCUCUGUGAAACCAGAGGAUGGACAGUGUCAGGUGGACAGUUUGACUGGGGCGGUCGCCUCCGAAAGAGUAACGGAGGCGCCCAAAGGUACCCUCAGAAUGGAUGGAAACCAUUCGAAGAGCGCAAAGGCAGAAGGGUGCCUGACUGCGAGAUUGACAAAUCGAGCAGAGACGAAAGUCGGGCUUAGUGAUCCGGCGGUAUUGAGUGGAAAAGCCGUCGCUUAACGGAUAAAAGCUACCUCGGGGAUAACAGGCUGAUCUCCCCCAAGAGUCCACAUCGACGGGGAGGUUUGGCACCUCGAUGUCGGCUCGUCGCAUCCUGGGGCUGAAGCAGGUCCCAAGGGUUUGGCUGUUCGCCAAUUAAAGCGGCACGCGAGCUGGGUUCAGAACGUCGUGAGACAGUUCGGUCCCUAUCCAUCGUGGGCGUAGGAGUCAUGAGAGGAGCUGUUCCUAGUACGAGAGGACCGGAAUGGACGCACCACUGGUGCAACUGUUGUCGUGCCAACGGCAUAGCAGGGAAGCGAAGUGCGGAUGGGAUAAACGCUGAAGGCAUCUAAGCGUGAAGCCC